UCGUUAAGAGCUUGAGAACUUCAUGGGCUAUCCUUGUUUCAUGGGCUGUCCUUGAUGCCUUUUGGGACGCUUCUGAUUGGUGAAAGAGUAAGAUUCUGGUAGCUUUUUUAAGUGCGAGGUAUUAGGGAAAUUUUCUUCCAUAUAUUAGAAGGCUUAGGAAGACGAGAAUUUGACAUUGCCUCGUGGUUUUCCUUACUUUUCUGUCGGAGCUAGUUCAGUAAGGCAUGGAUAAGGACCAGCAGCAAAGCAAAGUAAUCAAAAGUGCUGAUGAGGUGGUGUUUACCCAAUAGAUUCAAUCCACUUACAGACAAAAAUGGUGCCUGUACAUUUUACCAUUAUUUUUAGGGUAAGGCACAUGUAGAAAGCAAUAUUUCACAAAACAACAUUAUAUAUGCAAAGUUUAAAUUUUCCAGACCUUUUCUGCUUGAUUUUUUGAGUGGUUCCAGGAUUUUCUUGUGCAAAGAGUUCUAGGUGAAUGUACCAGUCACCAUGUUUUUUGUUAUGAUGGUUUACAUUGAUUGCUGUGCUCUACAUUCAUCAUUGAAGUACCAAUUAAUUCCUUUGCCAUCAGUAAUUGCUUUAAAUAUACUGUGUCAGAAAUCACAGCACUGUGCUCCAAAAUGUAAUGUUGUCCUGGGCACAAUUUCAUAUUUUUGAGCAAGGGAAAGGUAAAAAUCAAACAAGACCACACAGACAUCAUCUACGAGACAACAUUGCUAUGUAUAAUGUUUAUAUAGUUAGUUAUGUAAAAGCUGCUCUAUUCAUGAAAUCAGUGUCAAUACUCUUCCUUGUAGCAGAUAUAAUUUUUAGCC
Molecule: long non-coding RNA, 812 nt
Organism: Pocillopora verrucosa
Lineage: Eukaryota; Metazoa; Cnidaria; Anthozoa; Scleractinia; Pocilloporidae
Source: RefSeq, a predicted model, not a curated record